RNAcentral lists this long non-coding RNA (1248 nucleotides) under Homo sapiens (human). Its description in RNAcentral is "non-protein coding lnc-PRKACG-6:1". Lineage: Eukaryota; Metazoa; Chordata; Mammalia; Primates; Hominidae. The record is from RNAcentral.
AUGAUUUAUAGACUUUUCUUGAUCAACUCCUCUGGAGAUAUUUUCCUGGAGAAACACUGGAGAAGUGUGGUACACUGUUCUGUUUGUGAAUACUUUUUUGAGGUGCAAGAACAAGCUACUGAGGCAGAAAGUGUGCCUCCAGUUAUCCCUACCCCUCACCACUGUCUCUUAAGUGUUUACCACCACAAGAUCUUUUUUUGUGGCUGUGAUCCAGAUGGAGGUCUCCCCUCUAUUUGUCAGAGUUUCUUCACUGAGUAGUGGACACAUUUCAGGACUAUGUUGGAGUCUGUUCAGAAUUAGUGAUGAAGGACAAUGUGAUUGUGAUUUAUGCGGCAUCAGAAGAGACGCUUGGCAAUGGGUUUCCAAGCUGACUCGUUGGCUACCGAGUCAAAUAUCCUCAAAGAAAAGAUAAAGCCUCCCACUAUCCUUCGAACAGUUGUCAACACCAUCACAGGAAGCACCAAUGUGGGUGACCAACUUCCCACUGGAUAACUGUCAAUGGUGCCUUGGCGAGGUACUGGGGUGAAAUACACCAACAAUGAGGCCUAUUUUGAUGUGAUUGAAGAGAUUGAUGCCAUUAUUGAUAAAUCAGGUUCUACAAUUGCUGCUGAAACCCAGGGGAUGAUUGAUGCUGUAUCAAGCUGAUUGGAAUGCCAGACCUUACACUUCCCUUCAUGAACCCCAGGUGGUUGGAUGAUAUCAGCUUCCAUCCUUGUGUUUAAGUGCUGGAAAUCUGAGCAUAUCCUUUCUUUCAUCCCUCUUGAUGGAAAUUUCCGCCUGCUCUCUUAUCCUGUCAGUGCAAAGAAACUGGUUGCAAUCCCAGUGUAUGUCAAAUAUAAUAUCAGUUUCUGAGACAGUAGUUCACUUGUAUGCUUUGGAAUAAUGGUGGGACCCAAGCAGGCAAUGGGGAAGACCACAGAGGGAGUGAUAGUCACCAGCCAGAUGCCCAAAGGGGUCCUAAACGUGAGCCUGACUCCACGACAAAGGAUGUACACGUUCAGCCCAGUCACAGAGAUGCUAUUUUGGGAUGUGGGAAAAACAAAUCCCCACAAGCUACCAAGUUUAAGGAAGACCAUGGGUCUUCACAUUGGAGAUUCCAAACAUAUGAUAAAAUUAACUUGUAGUUAAGAUGCAGCAGCUGGCUAUUUCUGGACUUAGGGUCAUCUGGAUAUGUAUGGAGAAAAGUACAAACCCUUUAAGGGCAUAAAAUACAUGACCAAAGCUAGAAAGUUCCAAGUUUGAACCUGA